RNAcentral lists this ribosomal RNA (483 nucleotides) under uncultured bacterium. Its description in RNAcentral is "partial 16S ribosomal RNA". It matches the Rfam family "Bacterial small subunit ribosomal RNA", at positions 28 to 507 of the family's 1533-position model. The record is from RNAcentral.
GACGAACGCUGGCGGCGUGCUUAACACAUGCAAGUCGAACGCUGAAGCUCAGCUUUUGUUGGGUGGAUGAGUGGCGAACGGGUGAGUAACACGUGAGUAACCUGCCCCCUUCUUUGGGAUAACGCCCGGAAACGGGUGCUAAUACUGGAUAUUCACUGGUCUUCGCAUGGGGGUUGGUGGAAAGGGUUUUUCUGGUGGGGGAUGGGCUCGCGGCCUAUCAGCUUGUUGGUGGGGUGAUGGCCUACCAAGGCUUUGACGGGUAGCCGGCCUGAGAGGGUGACCGGUCACAUUGGGACUGAGAUACGGCCCAGACUCCUACGGGAGGCAGCAGUGGGGAAUAUUGCACAAUGGGCGCAAGCCUGAUGCAGAGACGCCGCGUGAGGGAUGGAGGCCUUCGGGUUGUGAACCUCUUUCGCUCAUGGUCAAGCCGCAACAAUGGUUGUGGUGAGGGUAGUGGGUAAAGAAGCGCCGGCUAACUACGUG